Molecule: ribosomal RNA, 776 nt
Filed under: uncultured Neocallimastigales
Lineage: Eukaryota; Fungi; Neocallimastigomycota; Neocallimastigomycetes; Neocallimastigales
Description: partial large subunit ribosomal RNA
Rfam family: Eukaryotic large subunit ribosomal RNA
Source: RNAcentral
UAUGUGAUCGUCUCUCGCAUAUCAAUAAGCGGAGGAAAAGAAACUAACAAGGAUUCCCCUAGUAACGGCGAGUGAAGCGGGAAGAGCUCAAAUUUGAAAUCUUAAAGGGUUUCCCUUUACGAAUUGUAGUUUAAAGAAGUGUAUUCUGUUGAGGUUUUGGUAAAAGUUCUUUGGAAUAGGACAUCAUAGAGGGUGAGAAUCCCGUAUUUGACCUUUACUUUCAACUUUGUGAUACCACUUUCAAAGAGUCGGAUUGUUUGGGAAUGCAGUCCAAAAUGGGUGGUAAAUUUCAUCUAAAGCUAAAUAUUGGCGAGAGACCGAUAGCGAACAAGUACCGUGAGGGAAAGGAUGAAAAGAACUUUGAAAAGAGAGUUAAACAGUACGUGAAAUUGUCAAAAGGGAAGCGUUUGACACCAGUGUUGUUUUUCUGAAAAUCAAUUAAAGAACUGUUUAUGCUAAGUUGUUUAGACUUUAUCAGCUAUCUGUUUAGUUUUUGAGCUUUUCUUUAAUGCACUUUUCAGUUAACAAGUCAACAUCAAUUUCUUUUGCUGUAAAAAAGCUUGAGGAAGGUGGCUUGAGAUUCGUCUUAAGUGUUUAUAGCCUCUUGCCUAUGCAGUCGGAGAGAUUGAGGUCUGCAGCGUAGAUCCUUCGGGGCUAAAUGCAUUUGUGCUAAGUUAUAGCAUUUUAUAGACAACUUGUUGACUAUGAUUUGUCUUGUAGCUUACUCGCUUAUGUUAUUUUACCUACGCUUAGGAUGUUGAAGACUCUACAGAGAU